CUUAAACAUUAAGAAUUAAAAUUUUCACCGCUCUAACUUCCCGCCCCAAGUUCCCUUUCCUCCCUCAAAUUUGAAAUUUUCAACCCUACCCCUACAUUCCUUACUCUGUUGUUUAUCGUUUCUGAUCCUCCCCAAAUGAUAGAUUUAUCAUCCCGCUUUUGUUCUCUACCACAUUUAACGACAGCAUCAUCUCAGCGGCAGUGGCUCAGCGAUGACAUUUUGGGUACUUCAUUUGUGGCCAAGGUUUCAAGUAUUGAAGCAACUGAAAAUCUAACAUUUGAAACUUCUAAAGUUUAACUAAAAACUUUGAUGUACUAUUUUCAGGUCUUGAGAGGGAUCCACCUGAAGUAGUAGUGGAUAUUAGGUAUAUAUUUUUCUAUAAAUGGCUAUUGAACAACAAAAUAUAGGUUUUAUAUAGUAUGUUGAGUGAAUGCCUACCAAGUGUUUGAUCAAAUGUCUGAGUGAGUGUUAAAAACACAGUGGUCUCCACAAUUUAACAAACGCAAUGGCGGCAUAUGUAGAUGUUGUUUGCUUAAAAUAGUGAUACAAAUAGCUUAUAGAUUAGAUGACGCAAUAGGGUAUGUUUCAUAAAAUGGUAUACUAAUUGUUAUUGUCAAUGUUACCCAUGUAUGUAGACAAAUGGUUUCAUAGUGUAUGUUUCUCUUUGAAUUGAUUCA
Helianthus annuus (common sunflower) is the source of this 677-nucleotide long non-coding RNA. RefSeq lists it as uncharacterized. The transcript is spliced from 2 exons. Lineage: Eukaryota; Viridiplantae; Streptophyta; Magnoliopsida; Asterales; Asteraceae. The record is from RefSeq and is a predicted model, not a curated record.